RNAcentral lists this ribosomal RNA (250 nucleotides) under uncultured bacterium. RNAcentral describes it as "partial 16S ribosomal RNA". It matches the Rfam family "Bacterial small subunit ribosomal RNA", at positions 779 to 1031 of the family's 1533-position model. The record is from RNAcentral.
UAGAUACCCUGGUAGUCCACGCAGUAAACGAUGAAUACUAACUGUUUGCGAUACAAUGUAAGCGGUACAGCGAAAGCGUUAAGUAUUCCACCUGGGGAGUACGCCGGCAACGGUGAAACUCAAAGGAAUUGACGGGGGCCCGCACAAGCGGAGGAACAUGUGGUUUAAUUCGAUGAUACGCGAGGAACCUUACCCGGGCUCAAACGCAGGGGGAAUAUAUAUGAAAGUAUAUAGCUAGCAAUAGUCACCU